This is a long non-coding RNA of Protopterus annectens (West African lungfish), 496 nucleotides long. RefSeq lists it as uncharacterized. The transcript is spliced from 4 exons. Lineage: Eukaryota; Metazoa; Chordata; Ceratodontiformes; Protopteridae. The record is from RefSeq and is a predicted model, not a curated record.
GAACUGUCAGUGCAGUAGGUUUGGCAGUGAAAGGCGGAGGAGUAGCGAGAGGGUUUGACUGUUGGUGCUUUUGGUCACUUUUCUGCUGCAAUGAAAACAGCAGUCGCGGGAGGAGGAGGCAGUGCUGGUGGAGGCGAUAUGGAAGAAGCAUUUAUGGAUAUUUAGGAGAAAGUCAUUUGGAGUCACCAAAACCUGAAAGCAUACUUGAAUAUGGUAAGAACGGUUAGUCUACCAGAACGGGCUCAUCAUGGUAAAACAUUCUGCCAGUACCUUCUUCAGCCAACCACUUUCAUAUUCCAAAUAUCAAUGAGCUUCGUCCUGUCAGGUGUAUCACGAUAGGAGUUUGUCUUCAUGAAGAUUCCUGACAUUGGUAAUGUGAUGAAUAAAUUUGAGGUCCUUGGAGUCGUAGGAGAAGGAGCCUAUGGGGUGGUACUAAAAUGCAGGCACAAGGAAACAAAUGAAAUUGUGGCUAUCAAAAAGUUUAAAGACAGUGAAG